UUUAGUGGAGAAGAAGAAAAAAAAAAUCAGAUAAAGCAAAAAAAAUAUAAGAUAGCUCUAAUUUAGUAUACUCGUUUAUGGAAUAAGAACCCAUAUGUGUCACCUAGAAUUCUUUUUUUUCGCGGACGACUUUCUUUCCUCGCUCUCUUUCUCUCUCGAUCGAAGUCCAGAAUUGACAAAGGAAUGAGAAGGAAUCAAAAGCUAUGGAAUCAGAGGAGAUCCGAAGCGGAGGAGAUUGUAUUCCUCUGGCAAGAUUCCGAUGGAUUCGCAGCAACCAUUGCUGAUUCUCCAAACCCUAGCCCUCAUUCUCCUCUUCGCAAACUAGAAGAACAGGUCCAGCUUCCUUUGGAUAAGUAUGGCGUCCGAGAUGAUGUCGGAACCGGCGGCAAUAUCGUUCACUUCCUCUAAGCAACUAUGGUUUCAUUGCUAUGCUAAAACAUCCUCGUCCAUCCUCAAACUCCCGUGGAAUGAUGGAUUAUCAAAGUGCUGAUCAUGAGCAACUUAUGAAACGUUUACGGUCUGGACCAACUGGUGAUGAGACUAACAGGGUUGAGCACUUGAGCUUUUCUUGUGGCGGCAUCUAAGCUUAAGUUCAAUAACAGAUCCCUCGAAGCAAAUAACAGCAAAGCUAGUCUUCAUUACGUUCAAGUUGGUGCAGAAAGUGAUACCAGUAGGUUAUUUGCUUCGCCUUCUCAUGCAAUCUCCAUACGCAGAGUGAGUUUAUAUCUGCUUAAUGUUUGGAUUUAUUUUGUGGUCAUUGUAGGUGAAAGCUAAGACUGAUUUUGGAGUUGUCAUGUUUGAUGAGAGUCAUAUAAUUCUAAAACUUUAGUUUGGUUUUUUAUAUCUUCUCAUCUAAUUUUGUAAACAUAUAUCUCAAAUGCAAUAAUUUCAUAUUC
Camelina sativa (false flax) is the source of this 896-nucleotide non-coding RNA. NCBI's taxonomy places the organism in Eukaryota, Viridiplantae, Streptophyta, Magnoliopsida, Brassicales, Brassicaceae. The record is from RefSeq and is a predicted model, not a curated record.